GGAUGCGAUCAUACCAGCACUAAAGGACCGGAUCCCAUCAGAACUCCGAAGUUAAGCGUGCUUGGGCGAGAGUAGUACUAGGAUGGGUGACCUCCUGGGAAGUCCUCAUGUUGCAUUCC
This 119-nucleotide ribosomal RNA is filed under the name Triticum aestivum (bread wheat). The record is from RNAcentral. Lineage: Eukaryota; Viridiplantae; Streptophyta; Magnoliopsida; Poales; Poaceae.